AGUGAACGCUGGCGGCAGGCCUAACACAUGCAAGUCGAGCGGCAGCGGGUCCUUCGGGAUGCCGGCGAGCGGCGGACGGGUGAGGAAUACAUCGGAAUCUGCCCUGUCGUGGGGGAUAACCUAGGGAAACUUAGGCUAAUACCGCAUACGACCUACGGGUGAAAGCGGGGGAUCGCAAGACCUCGCGCGACAGGAUGAGCCGAUGUCCGAUUAGCUAGUUGGCGGGGUAAAGGCCCACCAAGGCGACGAUCGGUAGCUGGUCUGAGAGGAUGAUCAGCUACACUGGGACUGAGACACGGCCCAGACUCCUACGGGAGGCAGCAGUGGGGAAUAUUGGACAAUGGGCGCAAGCCUGAUCCAGCCAUGCCGCGUGGGUGAAGAAGGCCUUCGGGUUGUAAAGCCCUUUUGUCCGGGAAGAAAUCGUCUGGGCUAAUACCCCGGGCGGAUGACGGUACCGGAAGAAUAAGCACCGGCUAACUUCGUG
Molecule: ribosomal RNA, 484 nt
Filed under: uncultured bacterium
Lineage: Bacteria
Description: partial 16S ribosomal RNA
Rfam family: Bacterial small subunit ribosomal RNA
Source: RNAcentral